Non-coding RNA from Saimiri boliviensis boliviensis (Bolivian squirrel monkey), 478 nucleotides. The record is from RefSeq and is a predicted model, not a curated record. Lineage: Eukaryota; Metazoa; Chordata; Mammalia; Primates; Cebidae.
GACAGGCCUCCUAGGUGGGACUCUCCUUGCAGACGGGAAGCCCAUCUGCUUGACUUGACUUUGGAAUCCCAGCAGCCUCACCCGUAAGAUGGGACUGAAUGAGCGAUGUUUACUCCAUCCACCAAAGGCCACUCUCCCUUGGGUUUUCAACAGCUGGAGAAAUAUCAAAAGAAUCUGAAUAUCACCAUCUGGAAGUUGUGCCAUGGACUCCAGUGGGCAGAAAUCGAGCUGGGAUUCUCUUCUUCUUCUAGCAAUGUAUUUCUUCUGCUUAAAAUGAGCACAAACACAUCGAAUUCCCUAAUGGACUAACUCAAACCUAAAAUGUCUUAUUCUUUGUCCCCCCUCCUCUACCAGCACAGAUUUCUGGGAUUCUCUAAAUGCAGAUGGCCAGUGGGUGGGGGGUGGGGGAUUCCCAAAGAUAUUUGCUCAUCGGUGACUUCACUUAACCAAUAAAUCAAAUGUGUUGAAAAACACACAU